This 600-nucleotide ribosomal RNA is filed under the name Blastocystis sp. subtype 10. RNAcentral's name for it is "bacterial SSU rRNA". It matches the Rfam family "Eukaryotic small subunit ribosomal RNA", at positions 1 to 603 of the family's 1831-position model. Lineage: Eukaryota; Bigyra; Opalinata; Blastocystidae. The record is from RNAcentral.
UGAGAGCUAGAGUAUUCAGCAAGAUAUGUGUUGAUCUAUCAGUAGACAUACACUCGUGUCUCAGAGAAUACAUGCAUGUGUAUGUAUAUAUAAUUAUGCUUGUAAUAGAAUGGCUGCUCUAUAUAUCAGAUAUAGUUUGGAGAGAUGUGUCUGGAUGAUGUCCGUAGUAAAGCGAGAGCUCAUGCAUGAUCUCUUCUCUUUAUGAGGAGGGUUUUUAGUAUGAAAAACACAAUCGACGCAGUAUGGUUGAGAAUAAUAACCACUUGUCAUCCCUCAUUCUAAUGACGAUAGUUCUUUCAAGUGUCUGCCCCAUCAGCUCUCGAUGGUAGUGUAUUGGACUACCACGGCACUAACGGGUAACGAAGAAUUUGGGUUCGAUUUCGGAGAGGGAGCCCGAGAGAUGGCUACCACACCCACGGAAGGCAGCAGGGGCGUAAAUUACCCACUCCCGACAUACGGAGGUAGUGACAAUAAAUCACACAGCGGGACUUUUUAGUUUUGCAAUUGGAUUGAGAACAAUGCACAAGAGUUAUCGAUAAACAAUUGGAGGGCAAGUCUGGUGCCAGCAGCCGCGGUAAUCCAGCUCCAAAAAGGCGGAAU